Molecule: ribosomal RNA, 253 nt
Filed under: uncultured bacterium
Lineage: Bacteria
Description: partial 16S ribosomal RNA
Rfam family: Bacterial small subunit ribosomal RNA
Source: RNAcentral
UACGAAGGGGGCUAGCGUUGCUCGGAAUCACUGGGCAUAAAGCGCACGUAGGCGGAUUGUUAAGUCAGGGGUGAAAUCCUGGAGCUCAACUCCAGAACUGCCUUUGAUACUGGCGAUCUUGAGUCCGGGAGAGGUGAGUGGAACUGCGAGUGUAGAGGUGAAAUUCGUAGAUAUUCGCAAGAACACCAGUGGCGAAGGCGGCUCACUGGCCCGGUACUGACGCUGAGGUGCGAAAGCGUGGGGAGCAAACAGG